Molecule: long non-coding RNA, 311 nt
Filed under: Androctonus crassicauda
Lineage: Eukaryota; Metazoa; Arthropoda; Arachnida; Scorpiones; Buthidae
Source: RNAcentral
GUUUGGCUUGUACCAAUGGACAUGUGGGCGUGGGGUGCAUGUGUGCACGCGUGGGAGCUGGUCGUCGGCCUGCGUAUAUAAGUGGUGAAUGGGUGUCUUAAGGAGUCUGGUUCCUGUUCAUUGGUCGGUUGGGGCCGUUCUCUGGUAUGUGGGUCCGCGCUUCUGGUGGGUCGGUUGUGGGUCUGUCGUUCACGAGGUUCUCUUUGUCUUUCCUGGUCGCUGUCUCCAGCGUUUCUUGAGUUGUGGCUUGGGUGGGUUUGGUGGUCUGCCUCACUGUCUUCGCUCUGUCCCACUCUAUUCUAACAUUGGUG